Molecule: ribosomal RNA, 945 nt
Filed under: Triticum aestivum (bread wheat)
Lineage: Eukaryota; Viridiplantae; Streptophyta; Magnoliopsida; Poales; Poaceae
Description: partial small subunit ribosomal RNA
Source: RNAcentral
AUGGCUUCGUCGGAGAAGCUCCGGCCGAGCACCUCGCCGUCGGCCACCACCACCACCACCUCCUCCUCCACAAACCACGCCUCGUCGUUGGGUUACUUCCUGCCGGAGCUGAUCCCGUUGGUCGCGAGCCGCCUGACGACCCUCCAGGACUUCUUCGCCCUCCGCGCCGCCUGCCGCACCUACCGGGAACUCCUCCCGCUGUCGCCGGCCAACCUCGCCUCCCAGGGUCCGCUCCUCCUCUUCCCCCGCAUGGCCUCUGCCUCGGGGGCCCUCUUUCACGUCCCCCUCCGCCGCAUCCUCCGCUUCCGCCUCCCCUGCACGGACCACGGCCUCACCGAGUUCUACUCAUUCGGCUGCCGCGUCGCCAUCCAGGAUCGCGACCGCUAUCACACCCGCCGCGAGCUCCGCAUCCGCCACCUCCUCACAGGCGAGCGAGCCCGCCUGCCUGAUCCCUUGAAGCCAGAGAGACUACGAAGUAGUCCUCUUUUCCGGCGACCUCGUCGUCACCUUCAGGAAACUCUGCCGCGUCGUCUACUACUGCCACAUUGGGGACGCUCACUGGCGAGCAAUAAAUUGACUCUGCCGGAAGUUUAUUGUCCAAGGUUCUGGCUAGCAGAGCGGUGUGGUGAGUUAUUGGUCAUUGUAAGGGUGGAGUACAAUCCAUGGGUGUACAUUGUUUUCUAUCUGCAAUCCGGGGAGGGGAAGUGGGAGAGGACUACUAGCCUUGGUGGUUGCAGCUUGUUCUUUAAUUUGCAUGAGUUUGCCGGUUGCCUUGGUCCAGAUCAUCCGGCAGUUCGAAGGGACUGCUUGUACUUCACUGGGUGCUCUGGGAAGUGGAGCGAGUAUUCUUUGGUUGAUGGGUCUUAUCAUGAAUUCGUCAUCGACUGCCCAGGGCGAACAGAGGAUUGUGGAUCUCCUGUUUGGGUCCUUCCAAGCAUUUGCUGA